GCGGGGCGGCCAAAAUUCCCUCCCAAAUUUUCCUUCCCAGAAAUCAAAACCCAUUGCCGAAUUCCCCCUUAGACCUCUUGGCUCUCUCACUUUCUCAAGCAAAUCGGAACCCUAGCCCCUCCAUUGCUACCAGGCUGUCGUCUCAAGCCCCUCCAAACCUAGCCCCUCUGUUUCCCACUUACCUCAUGUAGCCCCUUUAAGAUUCUUAGCCCUUCCCUCAGUAGCCGCAGCCCUCUCUCACGCAGGCUCGCAGCAGCUCCUCCCUCUCGGUUGUCUCUCAGCCCUCCGGCAACCAUCUCUCCCACUGAUUUAGGUUAUGAAACUGCUAUUGUUCAGGUUCAAGGUGUAAUUGGAUUGGUUUUGUACACUACAAAAGUUAGGUAAGCGGUGCUCUUAUUUAAGACUUUCUCUAAAACUGAUUGAGGUUGAUUUUGUGAAACACAUGCAUAUUUUGUUAUGAAAACAAUCUCAGUUAUUUUCUAUACUAGUCUCAAUAUCUUAACUUUGAAAUCUCACAUUUUAUCAUAACAGGUAUAGACAGGAGCAGUUUUUGUACACUGUUUCUCUACUGUAUAAAAUGUGAAUAUUGAAUCUAAAAUUUUUAUCUGAUUUAUAUGGUAAUAUAUGUUCAGUAUGCUAUUCUGCUAUUGAUUGUAUAUGAUUGUAGGUCUGAAAUAUUGAAGAUUUAUUUACAUUGAAGGGGUUGGGAUUGAAUCUAUGUGUAUAUUGAUUUCGUCGACUAGUUUGUGUUGGUAAUUUCCACCCAAGAGUUCGAUAAAAUUCCCAGUAAAGAACAGAAAGCAAAACAAACCAAACCAUGGGCAAUCAAGAAGGGACUAAGAAAGCACCAAGUCUUCCACUAGGGUCUCACAAUUCGAUCUCAGUUAGAGAAGAAAUCACUUAGAGAAAGCAAGUCAAAGGUGGUUCCAACAAUUCCAGGUCCAUGCUAAAACUUGAUCAAUUGCAGAAGCUAGCGGCAUGGACCAGUGGACAGACUGCUACUCCUUCUCUAAGUGCUUUUUUCAGGCAUCUUUUGGCUACUGUGACUAUGAGAGAGGCCUUGAGUGUACUGCCUGAUCCUUCACUAUUUUCUUGUGAGAGGUUUGUUUGUAACUUGAAUUCUUCCAUGGUUGUUUUGUUUCUCUAUAGUUGUUUGUAGUGGUAUUGGCUCAACUUUGAAGUUUUGAUGGUUAGGUUUUAUACAGAUGUAAAUGUACAUCUUUCUUGAAUAUUGGAUUCACAUGUAGAUGGAAAUAUUUCUUCUUGUUGAAAACUUGAAUGAUUACCUGUUUUGGUGUUCAUGCUUAUGAUAAGCAAGGAGUAAGAUUAUAAAUGAGAUGUUUUAUUGACA
Molecule: long non-coding RNA, 1351 nt
Organism: Carya illinoinensis
Lineage: Eukaryota; Viridiplantae; Streptophyta; Magnoliopsida; Fagales; Juglandaceae
Exons: 2
Source: RefSeq, a predicted model, not a curated record